This 402-nucleotide ribosomal RNA is filed under the name uncultured prokaryote. Its description in RNAcentral is "bacterial SSU rRNA". It matches the Rfam family "Bacterial small subunit ribosomal RNA", at positions 355 to 774 of the family's 1533-position model. The record is from RNAcentral.
UAGGGAAUAUUGGUAAUGUGCGAAAGCGCGAACCAGCAACGCCGCGUGUGCGAUGACGGCCUUCGGGUUGUAAAGCACUUUUUGAGGGGAUGAGGAAGGACAGUACCCUCAGAAUAAGCCUCGGCUAACUACGUGCCAGCAGCCGCGGUAAAACGUAGGAGGCGAGCGUUAUCCGGAUUUACUGGGCGUAAAGCGUGUGUAGGCGGUUUGAUAAGUUGGAUGUGAAAGCUCCUGGCUUAACUGGGAGAGGUCGUUCAAAACUAUCAGACUUGAGAGUGGUAGAGGGAGGUGGAAUUCCGGGUGUAGUGGUGAAAUGCGUAGAUAUCCGGAGGAACACCAGUGGCGAAAGCGGCCUCCUGGCCCAUUUCUGACGCUCAGACACGAAAGCUAAGGUAGCAAACG